This 1216-nucleotide ribosomal RNA is filed under the name uncultured Rhizaria. RNAcentral's name for it is "SSU rRNA". It matches the Rfam family "Eukaryotic small subunit ribosomal RNA", at positions 577 to 1804 of the family's 1831-position model. The record is from RNAcentral.
CGGUAAUUCCAGCUCCAAUAGCGUAUACUAAAGUUGUUGCAGUUAAAAAGCUCGUAGUUGGAUUUCUGCGGGGACGGAGCGGCCGGACGCAACUUGCGUCUCGAGCUAGCGCUUUCCCCGCAUCCUGCCGCGAACCGUGCUACCAUUAGUUUGGUGGCGCUGGGGAUCGGCUCGAUUACUUUGAGAAAAAUAGAGUGUUCAAAGCAGGCCACACGCCUUGAAUAAGUUAGCAUGGAAUAAUGACUAAGGACUUUGGUUCUUUUCGUUGGUGUUCGGGACUGAAGUAAUGAUUGAUAGGGACAGUUGGGGCGGUCCGUAUUCCAAAGCGAGAGGUGAAAUUCUUAGACCUUCGGAAGACGAACAGCUGCGAAAGCGUUCCGCAAGGAUGUUCCCUUUGAUCAAGAACGAAAGUUGGGGGAUCGAAGACGAUCAGAUACCGUCGUAGUCUCAACUAUAAACUAUACCAGCUAGGGAUCGGCCAACGUUUAAUUAUUCGACUUGGUCGGCACCUUAUGAGAAAUCAAAGCAUCUGGGUUCCGGGGGGAGUAUGGUCGCAAGGCUGAAACUUAAAGGAAUUGACGGAAGGGCACCACCAGGCGUGGAGCCUGUGGCUUAAUUUGACUCAACACGGGAAAACUUACCAGGUCCAGACAUAGGAAGGAUUGACAGAUUGAUAGCUCUUUCUUGAUUCUGUGGGUGGUGGUGCAUGGCCGUUUUUAGUCGGUGAAGUGAUUUGUCUGCUUAAUUGCGUUAACGGACGAGACCCCAGCCUGCUAAAUAGCGCGGCCGAGCUUUGCUCGGUACGAGCUUCUUAGAGGGACCAUGAUGCGCGAUAGCACAAGGAAGUUUGGGGCAACAACAGGUCUGUGAUGCCCUUAGAUGUUCUGGUCCGCACACGGGCUACACUGGCGCCUGCAACGAGCAUAUCAGCUGGCCCGAGAGGGUCUUGGCUAAUCUUUGGAACCGGCGCCGUGCUUGGGAUUGACCAUUGCAAUUGUUGGUCAUGCAACGAGGAAUGCCUUGUAAACGCGAGUCAUCAGCUCGCAUUGAAUACGUCCCUGCCCUUUGUACACACCGCCCGUCGCUCCUACCGAUGAAUGUUCCGAUGAAAUUUUCGGAGAGCGCCGGAGAACGGGGCUCUGCCCUGCAGAACUGGAGGCUCAAAGUCACUUAAAUCUGAACAUUUCGAGGAAGGAGAAGUCGUAACAAGGUAACC